RNAcentral lists this ribosomal RNA (465 nucleotides) under Vreelandella stevensii. RNAcentral describes it as "partial 16S ribosomal RNA". It matches the Rfam family "Bacterial small subunit ribosomal RNA", at positions 338 to 795 of the family's 1533-position model. Lineage: Bacteria; Pseudomonadati; Pseudomonadota; Gammaproteobacteria; Oceanospirillales; Halomonadaceae. The record is from RNAcentral.
CCUACUGGUGGCUGCAGUGGGGAAUAUUGGACAAUGGGGGCAACCCUGAUCCAGCCAUGCCGCGUGUGUGAAGAAGGCCCUCGGGUUGUAAAGCACUUUCAGUGAGGAAGAACGCCUGGUGGUUAAUACCCAUCAGGAAAGACAUCACUCACAGAAGAAGCACCGGCUAACUCCGUGCCAGCAGCCGCGGUAAUACGGAGGGUGCGAGCGUUAAUCGGAAUUACUGGGCGUAAAGCGCGCGUAGGUGGCUUGAUAAGCCGGUUGUGAAAGCCCCGGGCUCAACCUGGGAACGGCAUCCGGAACUGUCAAGCUAGAGUGCAGGAGAGGAAGGUAGAAUUCCCGGUGUAGCGGUGAAAUGCGUAGAGAUCGGGAGGAAUAUCAGUGGCGAAGGCGGCCUUCUGGACUGACACUGACACUGAGGUGCGAAAGCGUGGGUAGCAAACAGGAUUAGAUACCCCAGUAGUC